This 322-nucleotide ribosomal RNA is filed under the name uncultured bacterium. RNAcentral's name for it is "bacterial SSU rRNA". It matches the Rfam family "Bacterial small subunit ribosomal RNA", at positions 30 to 352 of the family's 1533-position model. The record is from RNAcentral.
AUUGAACGCUGGCGGCAUGCCUUACACAUGCAAGUCGAACGGCAGCACGGGAGCAAUCCUGGUGGCGAGUGGCGAACGGGUGAGUAAUAUAUCGGAACGUGCCCAGUCGUGGGGAUAACGUAGCGAAAGCUACGCUAAUACCGCAUACGAUCUAUGGAUGAAAGCGGGGGAUCGCAAGACCUCGCGCGAUUGGAGCGGCCGAUAUCAGAUUAGGUAGUUGGUGAGGUAAAGGCUCACCAAGCCGACGAUCCUUAGCUGGUCUGAGAGGAUGAUCAGCCACACUGGGACUGAGACACGGCCCAGACUCCUACGGGAGGCCAGC